AUACUGGAUAUGACGGCCGAUCGCAUGGUCUGGUCGUGGAAAGAAUUUUGGUUGGGGAUGGACUCGCGGCCUAUCAGGUAGUUGGUGAGGUAAUGGCUCACCAAGCCGACGACGGGUAGCCGGCCUGAGAGGGUGACCGGCCACACUGGGACUGAGACACGGCCCAGACUCCUACGGGAGGCAGCAGUGGGGAAUAUUGCACAAUGGGCGCAAGCCUGAUGCAGCAACGCCGCGUGAGGGAUGACGGCCUUCGGGUUGUAAACCUCUUUUAGUAGGGAAGAAGCGAAAGUGACGGUACCUGCAGAAAAAGCACCGGCUAACUACGUGCCAGCAGCCGCGGUAAUACGUAGGGUGCAAGCGUUGUCCGGAAUUAUUGGGCGUAAAGAGCUCGUAGGCGGUUUGUCGCGUCUGCUGUGAAAUCCCGAGGCUCAACCUCGGGCUUGCAGUGGGUACGGGCAGACUAGAGUGCGGUAGGGGAGAUUGGAAUUCCUGGUGUAGCGGUGGAAUGCGCAGAUAUCAGGAGGAACACCGAUGGCGAAGGCAGAUCUCUGGGCCGUAACUGACGCUGAGGAGCGAAAGCGUGGGGAGCGAACAGGAUUAGAUACCCUGGUAGUCCACGCCGUAAACGUUGGGCGCUAGAUGUAG
RNAcentral lists this ribosomal RNA (645 nucleotides) under Curtobacterium sp. RNAcentral describes it as "bacterial SSU rRNA". It matches the Rfam family "Bacterial small subunit ribosomal RNA", at positions 166 to 825 of the family's 1533-position model. The record is from RNAcentral. Lineage: Bacteria; Bacillati; Actinomycetota; Actinomycetes; Micrococcales; Microbacteriaceae.